Molecule: long non-coding RNA, 863 nt
Organism: Pogoniulus pusillus (Red-fronted tinkerbird)
Lineage: Eukaryota; Metazoa; Chordata; Aves; Piciformes; Lybiidae
Exons: 3
Source: RefSeq, a predicted model, not a curated record
AAUUACAGUGCUAAAUGCACAACUAGCAAAGCAUCUGAAAAUAUUGCCAUCUCGGAGAAAGGUAAACAUAACAGGUGUUACAGGACAACCUGAAACAUGCUAUUUAGCCAAGGCACAGCUGUGGCUACCUGGGGAGAAAAGAGGUACCCUGGUAGAGUUAGCAUUGGCUUCGUGCAAACAUAAUAUCCUUGGGUUUGAUGUUCUAGCAGGCAGAAGAUGGCAUCUUCCUGACGGAACAUUAUGGAGCUUUGGUGCUUAUGAGAUGAGGAACAAGAGGCAAAGCAGUUCCUAGUCUUUCAUCCACAGUGACAGCAAUCCAAGCGGCUUCUCACACCUGGAUGGCGACUCUAGACGUGAAGGACAUGUUCUUCAUGGUGCCGUUGAGAGAAGAGGACAAACCGCAGUUUGCUUUUACCUGGCAAGGUAGCCCCUGAGAUGACCGCAGACUCCGACAAAUCGGGAGUGUGGUUUACAGAUGCAUCCUCUCGGAGGGUGGGGGCGAAGUGGCGCUACAAAGCCGCUGCCUUGGAGAUUGCUACAGGCCAGACAAUCACUGAAGAAGGUGAUGGUAGUGCACAGGUAGGGGAGUUGCGUGCUCUCAUGCUAGCAGCUGAGCAUGGAGCAACAACUAUUUACACUGAUUCUUAUUCCACGUUCAAAGGCGCCACUGAGUGGAUUUGCCAGUGGGAAGCGAAUCAGUGGAAGGUGUCAGGUGUGGAAGUCUGGAGAGUCGAAGACUGGAAAAGGCUAUUAGAGAUUGGCCGAUCCAGACCCCUCAAGGUUGGUUGGGUAGAAGGGCAUUCCAAAAAGCAAACACCAGCUACCACCUGGAAUAAUCAAGCUGAUUUCCUGGCAAAGAUCAA